Long non-coding RNA from Ctenopharyngodon idella (grass carp), 6165 nucleotides. RefSeq lists it as uncharacterized. NCBI's taxonomy places the organism in Eukaryota, Metazoa, Chordata, Actinopteri, Cypriniformes, Xenocyprididae. The transcript is spliced from 6 exons. The record is from RefSeq and is a predicted model, not a curated record.
AUCAAAAAAUCAGACCGAAAACAUAUUCUUUUAUGCCAUUAUAAAUACAAUAUAUUAUUAUGAAAUACCCGACGUGGCAUGGAGAACACAGAUAAAUGUUCUUAGGCCUGAUCUGCUUGCAGUAAAGCUGAAAAAAGACCUUUUCCAAUUGUAAGACAAAGAGGUUCUGAUCGAUCGAUAUUUAUUCAUAAACUGACGAUGCAUAGUUUAACAUAUAUCUUACAAAAAUAAUGCAACAUUUCUUCCAGGUGAGCAUUUAUAAAUUUGCUUUAAAACAAAACACAGUAACUUUUCUUUGCUAAUAUAACCUCUGACCUUAACUGGUUAUUUUUGGAUAACUUAUUUCUCAAAAUGAAGAAAACCUCUGAAGGAUACACAUACAAGUGACAUACAGGUUUUUAUAUAGAACUACAAAGGAACAAUUUCCUUAUUUCUAUUUAAAAUAGAAACACAUUAGUAUACAGUGCUUACAUUUAUUAGACCCCCUGUCAUAAUAAAAAGAAAACACAGAUAUUCGACUGUCAAACACUUGUUUAAAACUAAAAUCUUGGUUUCUGUGAAGGCUUGACUUGACCUCAAAGACACCAUGUCAAGGACUUAGUUCAAAUAUAUCAACAUAAUAUCAAUAGUAUUAUUAUAUGAAAGGAGGUAAAGAGUUUUUUUUUUUUUUUUUUUCUUACUAAACUAAACUAAAGCAGUAGGGCGUGAUGGGCCAUCAACACCUGGCCAUGGGCUGCAGGAUGCUGAUUGGUUGUUUGAUCCGGGGCUGUUGGGUGCUGAGAUGCGAUUGGUUGUCUACCGCUUCAUCUGGACAUCAUUGUGAAAAGUUACCAACAGCUAUUUUUCAGUUUUAUCUGGAAAUCAGUCUAUUGCUUGUGACUGUGAAGACUUACAAGAGUUGUUUUCAGUAUCAUCUGGAGAAUUAUCUGUUCUUUGUGACCAGUAACAGCUUGUUUUGGAUAUUCAGCAUUUGAAAUGGCUUCUGAAAGGUAAGUACUUUCUAUCUAUUAUCUGACUACACCGCAUAGAAUGCUUUACUUAUUUAUUUAUUUUUUUUUUUUUCUUGUUUCCAGUCCAAGAAUCUAAAAAAAAUAUUAAACAAAGAAGCAUUUACUAGAUAAGUAAAAAGUAUUGUGUUGUUUUCUGAAGAAAAAAACAAUCAAAAUUAAGUGAGUUUUUGCUUGAAACAAGCUAAAUUAUCUGGACUGGAAACAAGAAGAAAAAAAAACUAAAGAAAAGCAUUUUUAAAGAAACACACACACACACACACACACUGUGUAGCUGUCUUGUUUUUAUUUGUUAAAAGAUCUUACUGUUAAACAAAAUUUGUGCAAAUUCAGUAAUGUCAUUUUGGGGAUAGUUGAGUCGGUGACACAAAGCUUUCAGGCCAGAGUGAAAAGAUACACAUUUGCACCUUGGCACUACAAUUUGUGUUUUAUUUUUAUAUUUUUGUGAUUGUUUUUGAAGAGUUGUGUCUGAUGUCUACAUGAUGCCUACUUGUUAUUUAGCACAUCUAUAUGCAUUAUUAAACCACUGUUGGUCUUCUUAUUGUUCGCACAGCUCUUUCCACAGCAGGAUCUACUUUCUCUGCUCUCACUGCAAGAAGGCUCCACGCUCCCUUCCUGGGCACCUCAGGACGGCGUGCAUGCGCGACCGCACAGAGGCAGAGAUACAGGCCACUGUGAUUGAAGCCAAGAAAGAGAUGUCUGAAUUUACCCACAAGGGACGUUUCUGGGAUUACCAGCGUAUUCGAGACAUCUUGGCAACUGCUGAUCCUCUUGCCAGGUGUGUAAAUUUUUGCUCCUUUGUCAUGUCCUGUUGCAGUGCAAUACUCAGUGUGUGUGUGUGUGUGUGUGUGUGUAUUCACUGUUAUGUAUUUUAUUUCCUUAGGUUGUUAGAGGAGAUGCAGAAGAAGGGCCUGGUUGUAAUGAACAUACCUCCAGUUCUCCCGGCCCCCCCGCUGCCUGCGCCCUCUCCAGCUACAUCUGCUCCUCAAAGCCCUGGAGAAGGUGCGGACGAGCCAGACGAGGAGCCAGACCGCGAGCCAUCGUCUGAGGAGAGCUCUGGAGAGUUCUAUCAGAGGUAAAGUUUCACAUCAUCAUUCUCAGAUAACAUGUGCAGCGAUUGGACAUGAUUUCUCUUGAACAUAUUCACAAUCAUUUGAGCACCUGGUUUAUUUUCUUUCAGCACUGAGGGACCGAGGUGGACCGAUGAAGUCAGGGUGGAGAUGUCAAAAAAGGGCCUGUACAAGAAACACUCCAUCGAUCACCCCCUCCUUCGGGGAUUUAAUCGAUAUUUGCGUGUUGACUUGGGCAACAAAAAGAGCAAACAAGAGGUAAGUGAAAGAAAAGAUACCUUUAAGUGUCACCCACACACUCACGCUUUCACACAGAAAAAUAAAGAAAUAAAUGUGAAGACAAAUGCUCUUCUGAACUGUGUGCUGCGGUCACAUGUUAACCUGUGUUAUAUUCAGCCCUGCAGAUUUUAAUGUGAAAUGUAUACUUACAGGUGGAAGAAGUCUCCAGGUUCAUGUAUUACGUGGACCCCAGUGAGCCGAACCUGAAUUUUGUGCGGGAGGUGGAGAAAGUGCGAGAGUACUUCAAUACACUGACCCAGACAAAGCUCUCGAAGCAGACGGUGCUGAACUACUGGAAGAGUCUCAAGAGGUCAGUACUGUGUAACGUAAACAUCUCAUCUGAAUUUCAACUAAUAUUUAUGGGAUGAUUAUUCGUCUUCUGACUGUAACAACCCUUCCUGUCUCUCUCUUCAAGGUUCAUGAGGUACAUUGUUACCAGCACCAGCAUCCGUGUCAAAGAUCCCAGCCUGUACAACGACUGCAAGAGCUUCACUGAUCCUCUGGAUGGCAUACGGGCUGGGAUGUCUAAGAAGGUCAACAAGGAGCAGACACAAAAAAGGUCAGUUUUUUUUUUUUUUUACUCUUUUUUUUUUUUUUUUUUAUCUAUUUAAUGGAAAGCACAGGUGAGUUCAAGUUCAACAUUACUAUUUUUUUUUUUUUCCCUCAGGUUCCGCGGCUACGGCAAGGAAAAAUUUCCGGCUGACUGCAUCACAAUCUUGGAUGCUGCUUAUACGGAUUUCCUGGCUGUCAUGGGCAAACUUCAGGGUCCAGGAGCCAUUUCAGGGGAGGAACUCAGCAAAAACGAACGUCUGCUUGUCCUCUAUUAUCUUGAGGCCAUAAUUAUGCUUAAACUUCUACAACGCCCAGGGGUUGUUACGAAUAUGACCGUAAGUGUAUUUUAGUAACAACAGCAUCUUUUAUUUUCCUUUACCCAUAUGCCUCCUGAUCUUGUGCUUCACAGAUGCGUGUACCUUUUGAGUGUUUGUGACGCCUGUCAUUGAAAGCACACAACUGUCUGUUUUCAGGUUGAGGAAUGGAAGGGGAGAACCCGGCAUCCAAACGGAGCUUCCGUGGCGGUGAAGGAGCAUAAAACGGCCGCGUCGCAAAUAGCAGAAGUACCGCUGACUGAUGACCAAGAACAUUGGUUUGGCCUGUACUUCGAUGAGAUUCGGCCGGUGAUGUUACAAGGUAAUAAGUCAGUGGACAAUGCAGCAGCAGAGCAGAGUUUUUUUGUUUCAAGUACUGGAAGGCCAAUUUAUAACCCCUGCAACGACUUGAAAAGAUUCCAUGCCAAAUACAACAUUCCCAGGGUGACCAGCAGCGACGCUCGGACAGCCUUUGAGACGGCUGCUAAAAAUCUGCCGGAGGUGCAGAGGAAUGCGGUGGCACGUCUCUUGGGACACACGCCGGAAACAGCAGAGAAGCAUUACCGGAUGAAAACUCCGGCAGAUGCAUUCCUGGCCAAGGUUGUGGUCGAUGAGCUCACUGCAAAAACACGAGGUGCGUCUAGUGGGGCUUCUGGCCAAGAGAAAAGGAUGGAUGAACAGACGGCGUUUGACUUGCUGGUUCAGUCCUGCCCAGUGACUCUUGACGGGCCUCCUCCGAAAAGGGCACGCAGACACGAACUGUGCGCUGAACACGAGAGGCACUGCUACGACCGCUGGCGCAGCGAGCAGCUCAAGCUGCGUGAACAGCGUGUCCUUGAAUAUUUCGGUCGGUGUCAGCUGUCUGAGUCACAAGUGGAGGCCUGGGUGGAGAAACAAGGAUGGACGUCUAACGUCCCACAGGCUUCCCUAAUACUCAAGAAAUACUCCAAGUAGCCUUGAACAGCUCCCCUGCGGCUCUGUGGGUUACAAAAAUAAAUGUGAGCGGGCUACUUCCAAGCCACAUUAUUUUUGUGCCUACUUUUCAGCCACAAAACACCACCUCUCUUGCUCUCCAAGUUGCCCUGAAUGACUCUGUCUCUUUUUUUAGUACUUUACUCAAAGAUAUGUGAGCGGGCUAAUUUCCAAGCCACAUAUCUCUUCUCUUUGUCUACUUUUUUGUUUUCAGCCACAAAACACCACCUCUCUUGCUCUCCAAGUUGCCCUGAAUGACUCUGUCUCUUUUUUUAGUACUUUACUCAAAGAUAUGUGAGCGGGCUAAUUUCCAAGCCACAUAUCUCUUCUCUUUGUCUACUUUUUUGUUUUCAGCCACAAAACACCACCUCUCUUGCUCUCCAAGUUGCCCUGAAUGACUCUGUCUCUUUUUUUAGUACUUUACUCAAAGAUAUGUGAGCGGGCUAAUUUCCAAGCCACAUAUCUCUUCUCUUUGUCUACUUUUUUGUUUUCAGCCACAAAACACCACCUCUCUUGCUCUCCAAGUUGCCCUGAAUGACUCUGUCUCUUUUUUUAGUACUUUACUCAAAGAUAUGUGAGCGGGCUAAUUUCCAAGCCACAUAUCUCUUCUCUUUGUCUACUUUUUUGUUUUCAGCCACAAAACACCACCUCUCUUGCUCUCCAAGUUGCCCUGAAUGACUCUGUCUCUUUUUUUAGUACUUUACUCAAAGAUAUGUGAGCGGGCUAAUUUCCAAGCCACAUAUCUCUUCUCUUUGUCUACUUUUUUGUUUUCAGCCACAAAACACCACCUCUCUUGCUCUCCAAGUUGCCCUGAAUGACUCUGUCUCUUUUUUUAGUACUUUACUCAAAGAUAUGUGAGCGGGCUAAUUUCCAAGCCACAUAUCUCUUCUCUUUGUCUACUUUUUUGUUUUCAGCCACAAAACACCACCUCUCUUGCUCUCCAAGUUGCCCUGAAUGACUCUGUCUCUUUUUUUAGUACUUUACUCAAAGAUAUGUGAGCGGGCUAAUUUCCAAGCCACAUAUCUCUUCUCUUUGUCUACUUUUUUGUUUUCAGCCACAAAACACCACCUCUCUUGCUCUCCAAGUUGCCCUGAAUGACUCUGUCUCUUUUUUUAGUACUUUACUCAAAGAUAUGUGAGCGGGCUAAUUUCCAAGCCACAUAUCUCUUCUCCUUGCCUACUUUUUUGUUUUCAGCCACAAAAAAGUAAAAAAAGACCACCAAUACAGAUUUUUUUUUCUUUCAAUAUUCAUAGGCAACUGGAAGUGCACCAGCUACAAAUAACCAAACAUCAGCAGCUCACUCGAGGACCACUACAUGAGGACUCCAGAGAAGAAGAAGAAGAAGACGAAGACGAAGAAGAAGGAGGAGGAGGAUUUGACAGAGGAAGGCGCACGCUGGAUCCAUACGCUGCAUCUCAUUUCGGAGACUGCGUCCUACGGAGGUCGCAUUUGAAGGCUGCAUACGUCAUCAAGGAUGUCUUAUUUAAGAAAAGUAAACGUAAUUAAACAAACUGUUAUUCCUCGUGAGACGUAAAAUACUAUAAUUUCUUUCUUACUUUGCAAUCUAACAGUUAAUUUUUUUUCAAAUGAGACCGCCUCGAUGACAUAUGCAGCCUUCAAAAGUGACCUUCGGAGGACACAGCCUUCAAAACAAGACAGCUAUAAUCAUUAUAUUCUUAUUCUGUACAUACAGAUGCUAUUAUAAUUUUUUGUUCAUGUUUUCAAUCUACGUUUGUCAUUUCUUCUUUUGUUGUUAAUGAUCUGUAUUUGUCAUUAUUCAAGUCUUAUUUGUUGCACUUUAUUAAUCGUGUACCUGUCAUAGGUAUUCAUGUUUAUAUCAGGCAACCAAAAGUUGCAGAGGUCAGAGUGUCAAAAUGCUCAAAGACAAACUAAUUUUGUUAAAACUCUAAUAGAAAGUUGACAUUUUUAUACUUGUAUUGAUUUUUCAUGUUUUUUUUCCUCUGUUGUGCA